Long non-coding RNA from Gasterosteus aculeatus aculeatus (three-spined stickleback), 1199 nucleotides. Lineage: Eukaryota; Metazoa; Chordata; Actinopteri; Perciformes; Gasterosteidae. The record is from Ensembl.
CUUAGCAAUGACACAGCUCGGCCCCGGGGCCUCAUUGCUGAUAACGGGAACCGUGGCAACACAAAGCAUCCUGCAGUUUGUCGCUUAGAAUCCGUGGGUUCACAUGUGAGUGACUUCAGGACCGAUCUCUGCUUCACACAGAUGGUCCUUUCUAAUUACACGCGUUCUGCCCAGAAGUCAGCGCGGCCGCUCGCUUUCCACCGUCUCACGAGUCUUCGUCUUCGUCUUCUUCUUCUUCUUCUUCGUCUUCUUCUUCUUCCGCCCUGCAGCUACACCAGACGUCUCCUGUUCUCCACGGAGUUUACAGCUGAUGAACUCAUCAAAGCUCUGCUCCAAACCAAAAGUAAUAAUAUCUGGGAUAUGCGUAUAAAUACGUUUCUUUCGUCCAAUCCUUGCACAUGUUUUCUUUUCAACGCUCCAGCUUAUCUUUUUAACGUUUAGCAACAGCAGAGAAUGAGUGUUGCUUCCGGAAAGACCACUUAUAUCAAUUCAGAGUCCGAGCUCAAACAGCAGGGAGUUGACGGUUGUUUUGUUUAUUAUUUCGUAUAUCUGAAUUCAUGGAAAGGAUGUAAAAAAAACAACUAGAUUGAUGUCCAAUAGUACAUACAUCUUUUGAAUUUAGGCCAAGAUGCAACACCUGCGUUACAGAGUCAAUAAGUCCGUCCCAACAUCCCUGAUCUCAAAUCCCAUGAGGCCAAAACGUGUCGGAGUGAAAACACACACCUGCUUCUUCCUCAUUUCCAGUAUUGACAUCCAUAGCAGACCAGUGCCGGCGAAGGAACUCGAAACCCCCUUGAGAUCAUGUGCUGGGAGGUUUCAAUGUCAAAUAUUAUUUGUGUUUACUGAGCUUAAAACCAAUUGUUAGGCAGGCUUUAUGUGUUUAUAUAAAAUACUGAUAGGAACGGAAAUUGCACGAUAACAAAAAAAAACAACAACUAUGAGACCUGGACAGCUCAAAGUCACAAUACCAAAGAGACGGACUCACAUCCCGACCUAAACAACAACAAAAGGUUGCGUCAAACCAGGAUAAAGGAUUGUAAGUCAAAAUACAAGAAAACCCAGAAAGUUCAAGACCAUCUCCAGACUGAAGCAGACUUGAGUACUGCAGAUGGGUUAUGAAGUCAAAAGAGUUUGUAUAUCGUUGUAGCUAAAAGAGCAUUUGACCAGUAAUCCAUAAUUAUCAAUAGCACCAAUAAUCC